Molecule: ribosomal RNA, 429 nt
Filed under: Pseudomonadota bacterium
Lineage: Bacteria; Pseudomonadati; Pseudomonadota
Description: Proteobacteria bacterium partial 16S ribosomal RNA
Rfam family: Bacterial small subunit ribosomal RNA
Source: RNAcentral
UGGGGACUAUUGGACAAUGGGCGAAAGCCUGAUCCAGCCAUGCCGCGUGUGUGAAGAAGGUCUUCGGAUUGUAAAUCACUUUAAGUUGGGCGGAAGGGCAGUAAGCGAAUACCUUGCUGUUUUGACGUUACCGACAGAAUAAGCACCGGCUAACUCUGUGCCAGCAGCCGCGGUAAUACAGAGGGUGCAAGCGUUAAUCGGAAUUACUGGGCGUAAAGCGCGCGUAGGUGGUUCGUUAAGUUGAAUGUGAAAGCCCCGGGCUCAACCUGGGAACUGCAUCCAAAACUGGCGAGCUAGAGUAGGGCAGAGGGUGGUGGAAUUUCCUGUGUAGCGGUGAAAUGCGUAGAUAUAGGAAGGAACACCAGUGGCGAAGGCGACCACCUGGGCUCAUACUGACACUGAGGUGCGAAAGCGUGGGGAGCAAACAGG